This 168-nucleotide ribosomal RNA is filed under the name Macropodus ocellatus. RNAcentral's name for it is "partial 12S rRNA". The record is from RNAcentral. Lineage: Eukaryota; Metazoa; Chordata; Actinopteri; Anabantiformes; Osphronemidae.
CACCGCGGUUAUACGAGAGGCUCAGGUUGAUAAUUAACGGCGUAAAGAGUGGUUAAAUUAACAACAAAACUAAGGCCGAAAAUUUUCACAGCUGUUAUACGCACUCGAAGAUAAGAAGCUCAACUACGAAAGUGACCUUAUAUGUUUGAACCCACGAAAGCCAAGACA